AUAUCAAGACCAGGUAAGGUUCUUCGCGUUGCAUCGAAUUAAACCACAUGCUCCACCGCUUGUGCGGGCCCCCGUCAAUUCAUUUGAGUUUUAACCUUGCGGCCGUACUCCCCAGGCGGUCUACUUAUUGCGUUAGCUGCGUCACUAAGUCCUCAAGGGACCCAACGACUAGUAAACAUCGUUUACGGCGUGAACUACCAGGGUAUCUAAUCCUGUUUGCUACCCACGCUUUCGAGCCUCAGUGUCAGUAUUAUGCCAGAAGGCUGCCUUCGCCAUCGGUAUUCCUCCAAAUCUCUACGCAUUUCACCGCUACACCUGGAAUUCUACCUUCCUCUCACAUACUCUAGCUCAACAGUAUCAAAUGCAGUUCCCAGGUUGAGCCCGGGGAUUUCACAUCUGACUUAUCGAGCCACCUACGCUCCCUUUACGCCCAGUAAUUCCGAUUAACGCUUGCACCCUCUGUAUUACCGCGGCUGCUGGCACAGAGUUAGC
RNAcentral lists this ribosomal RNA (492 nucleotides) under Psychrobacter sp. Nj-18. Its description in RNAcentral is "partial 16S ribosomal RNA". Lineage: Bacteria; Pseudomonadati; Pseudomonadota; Gammaproteobacteria; Moraxellales; Moraxellaceae. The record is from RNAcentral.